CUAACAGUAGUUUACCAAAUAAUUCAGCAACUGAAAC
Non-coding RNA from Francisella tularensis subsp. tularensis, 37 nucleotides. The record is from Rfam. Lineage: Bacteria; Pseudomonadati; Pseudomonadota; Gammaproteobacteria; Thiotrichales; Francisellaceae.